RNAcentral lists this ribosomal RNA (484 nucleotides) under uncultured bacterium. RNAcentral describes it as "partial 16S ribosomal RNA". It matches the Rfam family "Bacterial small subunit ribosomal RNA", at positions 30 to 507 of the family's 1533-position model. The record is from RNAcentral.
AGUGAACGCUGGCGGCAGGCCUAACACAUGCAAGUCGAGCGGCAGCGGGUCCUUCGGGAUGCCGGCGAGCGGCGGACGGGUGAGGAAUGCAUCGGAAUCUGCCCUGUCGUGGGGGAUAACCUAGGGAAACUUAGGCUAAUACCGCAUACGACCCACGGGUGAAAGCGGGGGAUCGCAAGACCUCGCGCGAUAGGAUGAGCCGAUGUCCGAUUAGCUAGUUGGCGGGGUAAAGGCCCACCAAGGCGACGAUCGGUAGCUGGUCUGAGAGGAUGAUCAGCCACACUGGGACUGAGACACGGCCCAGACUCCUACGGGAGGCAGCAGUGGGGAAUAUUGGACAAAGGGCGCAAGCCUGAUCCAGCCAUGCCGCGUGGGUGAAGAAGGCCUUCGGGUUGUAAAGCCCUUUUGUCCGGGAAGAAAUCGUCUGGGCUAAUACCCCGGGCGGAUGGCGGUACCGGAAGAAUAAGCACCGGCUAACUUCGUG